This 468-nucleotide ribosomal RNA is filed under the name uncultured bacterium. RNAcentral describes it as "partial 16S ribosomal RNA". It matches the Rfam family "Bacterial small subunit ribosomal RNA", at positions 28 to 507 of the family's 1533-position model. The record is from RNAcentral.
GACGAACGCUGGCGGCGUGCUUAACACAUGCAAGUCGAACGGAAAGGCCCUGCUUUUGUGGGGUGCUCGAGUGGCGAACGGGUGAGUAACACGUGAGUAACCUGCCCUUGACUUUGGGAUAACUUCAGGAAACUGGGGCUAAUACCGGAUAGGAGCUCCUGCUGCAUGGUGGGGGUUGGAAAGUUUCGGCGGUUGGGGAUGGACGCGCGGCUUAUCAGCUUGUUGGUGGGGUAGUGGCUUACCAAGGCUUUGACGGGUAGCCGGCCUGAGAGGGUGACCGGCCACAUUGGGACUGAGAUACGGCCCAGACUCCUACGGGAGGCAGCAGUGGGGAAUAUUGCACAAUGGGCGGAAGCCUGAUGCAGCAACGCCGCGUGCGUGAUGACGGCCUUCGGGUUGUAAACCGCUUUCGCCUGUGACGAAGCGUUAGUGACGGUAAUGGGUAAAGAAGCACCGGCUAACUACGUG